This 415-nucleotide ribosomal RNA is filed under the name uncultured bacterium. RNAcentral's name for it is "bacterial SSU rRNA". It matches the Rfam family "Bacterial small subunit ribosomal RNA", at positions 30 to 444 of the family's 1533-position model. The record is from RNAcentral.
AUUGAACGCUGGCGGCAGGCCUAACACUUGCAAGUCGAGCGGUAGAGAGGUGCUUGCAUCUCUUGAGAGCGGCGGACGGGUGAGUAAUGCCUAGGAAUCUGCCUAGUGGUGGGGGAUAACGUUCGGAAACGGACGCUAAUACCGCAUACGUCCUACGGGAGAAAGCGGGGGAUCUUCGGACCUCGCGCCAUUAGAUGAGCCUAGGUCGGAUUAGCUAGUUGGUGAGGUAAUGGCUCACCAAGGCGACGAUCCGUAACUGGUCUGAGAGGAUGAUCAGUCACACUGGAACUGAGACACGGUCCAGACUCCUACGGGAGGCAGCAGUGGGGAAUAUUGGACAAUGGGCGAAAGACCUGAUCCAGCCAUGCCGCGUGUGUGAAGAAGGUCUUCGGAUUGUAAAGCACUUUAAGUUGGG